This 111-nucleotide non-coding RNA is filed under the name Meriones unguiculatus (Mongolian gerbil). The record is from RNAcentral. Lineage: Eukaryota; Metazoa; Chordata; Mammalia; Rodentia; Muridae.
GCAUUGUAUGAAAGAAGAGAAGGUUAGCACUCCCCUUGACAAGGAUGGAAGAGGCCCUUGGUCCUAACAGCAUGCAUACAGUUAAGGCAUCGCCAUCAACUUCAUUUAUAC